RNAcentral lists this ribosomal RNA (506 nucleotides) under uncultured bacterium. RNAcentral's name for it is "bacterial SSU rRNA". It matches the Rfam family "Bacterial small subunit ribosomal RNA", at positions 28 to 533 of the family's 1533-position model. The record is from RNAcentral.
GAUGAACGCUAGCGGGAGGCUUAACACAUGCAAGUCGAGCGGGAUUCGCCUUCGGGCGAUGAGAGCGGCGGACGGGUGCGUAACGCGUAUGCAACCUGCCUUAUACAGGGGGAUAGCCCAUGGAAACGUGGAUUAACAUCCCAUAGAAUCUCGGCCCCGCAUGGGGCUGCGAUUAAAACCGAGGUGGUAUAAGAUGGGCAUGCGUCCGAUUAGGUAGUUGGUGGGGUAACGGCCCACCAAGCCGACGAUCGGUAGGGGUCCUGAGAGGGUUACCCCCCACACUGGUACUGAGACACGGACCAGACUCCUACGGGAGGCAGCAGUGAGGAAUAUUGGUCAAUGGGCGAAAGCCUGAACCAGCCAUCCCGCGUGCAGGAUGACGGCCCUAUGGGUUGUAAACUGCUUUUCCGUCGCCAAGAAACCUAGCCAACGUGUUGGCAGCUGACGGUAGCGCGGGAAUAAGCACCGGCUAACUCCGUGCCAGCAGCCGCGGUAAAGUACAGUGU